RNAcentral lists this ribosomal RNA (321 nucleotides) under uncultured eukaryote. RNAcentral's name for it is "partial 18S ribosomal RNA". It matches the Rfam family "Eukaryotic small subunit ribosomal RNA", at positions 1470 to 1795 of the family's 1831-position model. The record is from RNAcentral.
CCCUUAGAUGUUCUGGGCCGCACGCGUGCUACACUGAGUGGAUCAGCGGGUCAGGUUGCGCGAAAGCGUUUCCUAAUCUUGAAAUCCGCUCGUGAUGGGGAUUGACGGUUGCAAUUUUCCGUCAUGAACGAGGAAUACCUUGUAAGCGCGGGUCAUCAUCCCGCGCUGAAUAUGUCCCUGCCCUUUGUACACACCGCCCGUCGCUCCUACCGAUUGAGUGGUCCGGUGAGGCUUUGGGAUCUGAGCGGAAAGAGCGUUUCGCUGUUUCUGCUCGGAAAACUCAGUCGAACCUUAUCAUUUAGAGGAAGGAGAAGUCGUAAC